RNAcentral lists this ribosomal RNA (484 nucleotides) under uncultured bacterium. Its description in RNAcentral is "partial 16S ribosomal RNA". It matches the Rfam family "Bacterial small subunit ribosomal RNA", at positions 30 to 507 of the family's 1533-position model. The record is from RNAcentral.
AUUGAACGCUGGCGGAAUGCUUUACACAUGCAAGUCGAACGGCAGCACGGGGGCAGCCCUGGUGGCGAGUGGCGAACGGGUGAGUAAUACAUCGGAACGUGCCCGGUCGUGGGGGAUAACGUAGCGAAAGUUACGCUAAUACCGCAUACGAUCUGAGGAUGAAAGCGGGGGACCUUCGGGCCUCGCGCGAUCGGAGCGGCCGAUGUCAGAUUAGGUAGUUGGUGGGGUAAAGGCCUACCAAGCCGACGAUCUGUAGCUGGUCUGAGAGGUCGACCAGCCACACUGGGUCUGAGACACGGCCCAGACUCCUACGGGAGGCAGCAGUGGGGAAUUUUGGACAAUGGGCGCAAGCCUGAUCCAGCCAUUCCGCGUGCAGGACGAAGGCCUUCGGGUUGUAAACUGCUUUUGUACGGAACGAAAAGGCUCUGGCUAAUACCUGGGGCUCAUGACGGUACCGUAAGAAUAAGCACCGGCUAACUACGUU